Molecule: ribosomal RNA, 1340 nt
Filed under: uncultured bacterium
Lineage: Bacteria
Description: bacterial SSU rRNA
Rfam family: Bacterial small subunit ribosomal RNA
Source: RNAcentral
GACGAACGCUGGCGGCGUGCUUAACACAUGCAAGUCGAACGGAAAGGCCUCUGCUUGCAGGGGUGCUCGAGUGGCGAACGGGUGAGUAACACGUGGGUGAUCUGCCUUGUACUCUGGGAUAAGCUUGGGAAACUGGGUCUAAUACCGGAUAGGAACUGCCUUUAGUGUGGUGGUUGGAAAGUUUUUUCGGUGCAAGAUGAGCUCGCGGCCUAUCAGCUUGUUGGUGGGGUAAUGGCCUACCAAGGCGUCGACGGGUAGCCGGCCUGAGAGGGUGUACGGCCACAUUGGGACUGAGAUACGGCCCAGACUCCUACGGGAGGCAGCAGUGGGGAAUAUUGCACAAUGGGCGGAAGCCUGAUGCAGCGACGCCGCGUGGGGGAUGACGGCCUUCGGGUUGUAAACUCCUUUCGACAGGGACGAAGCGCAAGUGACGGUACCUGUAUAAGAAGCACCGGCUAACUACGUGCCAGCAGCCGCGGUAAUACGUAGGGUGCGAGCGUUGUCCGGAAUUACUGGGCGUAAAGAGCUCGUAGGUGGUUUGUCGCGUCGUCUGUGAAAUUCCGGGGCUUAACUCCGGGCGUGCAGGCGAUACGGGCAUAACUUGAGUGCUGUAGGGGAGACUGGAAUUCCUGGUGUAGCGGUGAAAUGCGCAGAUAUCAGGAGGAACACCGAUGGCGAAGGCAGGUCUCUGGGCAGUUACUGACGCUGAGGAGCGAAAGCAUGGGUAGCGAACAGGAUUAGAUACCCUGGUAGUCCAUGCCGUAAACGGUGGGCGCUAGGUGUAGGGGGCUUCCACGUCUUCUGUGCCGUAGCUAACGCAUUAAGCGCCCCGCCUGGGGAGUACGGCCGCAAGGCUAAAACUCAAAGGAAUUGACGGGGGCCCGCACAAGCGGCGGAGCAUGUGGAUUAAUUCGAUGCAACGCGAAGAACCUUACCUGGGCUUGACAUACACCAGAUCGCUGCAGAGAUGUAGUUUCCCUUGUGGUUGGUGUACAGGUGGUGCAUGGUUGUCGUCAGCUCGUGUCGUGAGAUGUUGGGUUAAGUCCCGCAACGAGCGCAACCCUUGUCUUAUGUUGCCAGCAUUUUAGUUGGGGACUCAUGAGAGACUGCCGGGGUUAACUCGGAGGAAGGUGGGGAUGACGUCAAAUCAUCAUGCCCCUUAUGUCCAGGGCUUCACACAUGCUACAAUGGUCGGUACAGCGCGCAGCGACACUGUGAGGUGGAGCGAAUCGCUGAAAGCCGGUCUUAGUUCGGAUUGGGGUCUGCAACUCGACCCCAUGAAGUCGGAGUCGCUAGUAAUCGUAGAUCAGCAAUGCUGCGGUGAAUACGUUCCCGGGCCU